GGAAAACCGCUUGGAAAAUAAAGACAUGACUUCCUGAAAGUACCAUCUGGACAAUAUUUUCUUUCAGAAAUAGUGCCACACGUAAAAUAUUAUAUCGAAGCAAAAUUUUUGGUAAGAAUUUUUGUACACAGUAUAAAAAAAAAAAAAAAACAACAACUUUGUAAGGGGGAUGGUAAACUCCUAAAAAAGUAGACAAUCUUCUCUGUUGACAUAGUGUCACUCCUCACUAGAUAGUUUUAAAGUUGUAAAAGAUAAAUUAAGGUAUUUUAAAAUAAGUAGAUAUCAAUUAAAAAUUACAAAAAUCAAAAGCAAAAUAUUUUAACGCAAUUUUUUUUUUCUAGUUAUUAAAAUAAGUAAAUGAAGUAAAUGAAUAAGUGUAAUGAAUUAAUAAUAUUAACUACGUACCGAAAAACACGUGUACAAAGGGAGAAAACAAACAACACUAUCAGGAAUAAUACAGUUAUUCAAUUAUUUUGUUCUGCGAUUACUGGUAUGAAUACUCAUAAGCCUUUUAUCAUUGAGUGACGAAAAAAAUUUUCAAUUUACGAAAAUAACGUAGACGUUAUCGAAAUGUUCGAGAAUUUCCGAUACGAUCCUUAUAUUAAUAUUAUUUUUUACUUAAUUCUAUUUUACAUUUUAACAUCCUACAUUCGUUAGUCUCUACGAAUAUUUAUCUAAAAUACAACAAAAAAGGUCUCUUAUUAUUUUUCCAUUAAAGAACUAUUUCUGGUAUAAAACGUCGUGCGUGUUUAUAUAAAAUAAUGAAAUCGUAAAAUCGUACGUUUUUUCCCACUUAAGUGCAAUUAUCUUAAAUAAACAUCAUUGCAAAACCUUAAACCAAUAUAAAUCCUCGCUACAUUUAGAAUCUAAAAUGUAAAAAUGUCUGUAUAGAAGAUUACGUUAUCUAUUUAUGACUGGUAAAGUCUGUAUAAGAGAUUAAACCAUCUAUUUUUGAAUGGUAAAAAGGUACUAUGUAGGAGUUUCAACUAUGUUUUUUUUAAAUACAGGUAAAAAGGUCAGUUCUAUAGAAGUUUGCAUGUAGCCCUCUGUAAAACAAAUAAAUUCUUCUUACACUAUCACUACACUCGGAGUCUAAAAGUAAUUCAAGUAAUUAAGGAGGUAAUCGUGGCAGCUCGGAGGAUCGUAACACAAAAGUAUUU
This is a non-coding RNA of Cinara cedri, 1160 nucleotides long. NCBI's taxonomy places the organism in Eukaryota, Metazoa, Arthropoda, Insecta, Hemiptera, Aphididae. The record is from the annotation of a GenBank genome assembly.